GGGGGUGUAAAGGUUUCGACGGGGGUGUAGAAACAAGAUAAGCGAGCCGCAGUUUGCCAAGUCUGCGUUAAAAAUGGCACGUUAAAUAUAAACGCUAAAAAUAACAAUAAUUACGCAUUUGCAGCAUAGCUGCCUGCCGCAUAAAGCGGCCGCGUCGUCGGCUCUGAUUUACCUGUAGGUCAGAAUCCCGGCGUCAAUUAUACAGGAAAACUCUGUGCCUGCUCCCGGAAGUACAGGGGAAUGACGGGAUAGCUGAGCUUGAAGCCUGCCGCGGGGCGUCUUGCUUGGCGAAGUUUAAAUCAGCGGCUGCGCUCGGAGAAAUUCUUGCGGAAAUGCUUUCGGACAGGAGUUCGACUCUCCUCAUCUCCACCA
RNAcentral lists this transfer-messenger RNA (372 nucleotides) under human gut metagenome. It matches the Rfam family "transfer-messenger RNA". Rfam says of the family: Bacterial tmRNA, also known as 10Sa RNA or SsrA, is named for its dual tRNA and mRNA-like properties. Its role is to liberate the mRNA from a stalled ribosome. The record is from RNAcentral.